Molecule: long non-coding RNA, 2826 nt
Organism: Equus asinus (donkey)
Lineage: Eukaryota; Metazoa; Chordata; Mammalia; Perissodactyla; Equidae
Source: Ensembl
ACUACUAAGUACAUACAGAAAAUACUAGCGUACAAUUUAACUUCCCUUAACAGUAGUUUGUUUUGCUGAAGAUUUAUUUUUCUACAUAUUAAUUUAGAUUGUAUUCUGCAUUUUUAUUCAAAAUACAUAGUAAAGAUGAACCAAAGGCAGGAUCCACUUCCUUGAAUAGACUCCUUUCCCAAAUCCUAAUUACUGACCCUGGUUAUUUUCAAACCUAAAGAAUUAAAAAAAAAGGGUGGGGUGGGCUGGCCCUAUGGCUGAGUGGAUAAGUUUGCGCACUGUGCUUCAGCAGCCUGGGGUCCCCGGUUCAGAUCCUGGGCGUGGACAUGGUGGCACUGCUCAUCAAGCCAUGCUGAGGCAGCGUCCCACAUAGCAGAACUAGAAGGACCCACAACUAAAGCAUACAGCUACGUACUGGGGGGCUUUGGGGAGAAGUAGAAGAAGGGGGAAAAAAAGGGAUUGGCAACAGAUAUUAGCCAGAGGCCAAUCUUUAAAAAAAACAAAACAGCUAAUGUAUGUGACAGGCUAUGCAGUAGAGGGCGACCAGUAUUCAAAAGGGCUACUUAAGUUGCACCACAGGAGUCACCACUGCUGGAUGAGACUGGCUGGCAGAAGGCACUGAGUGUCUCAGUGGAGGCUGAUGAGCAGCCCGCAGGUCUGACUCUCAUGGAGGCUGAUGAGCAGCAUCCCGCAGGUCUGACUGCGGACAGGAGGCUGUCGGGUGCCAUCCCCCUCACUCCAGGUGGGCACCUGCUGCACUUGGGCAGCUGCCCCGAGCCUGUGGAGACGACAUGGCUCUGCAGCAAGCUGGCUGGGGAGCGGCAGGGCGCUCUGCCUUCCCUUUAGAACCCAGGCCACAGGCAGGAUGGACUGUCCCAAGGUCAGUGAGCAGCCUGAGGCCGGGGCCCACCUGUCCUGUGCUGGGCUCGGCACAGAAGGGAGACGUGCAGAGCUCUAUGCCUGAACACAGAUGGACAGGAGCAGGUGGAGGCGAGCCGGGGCUGGAGGCAGGGCCCCAUUUGCUCGAGCCACACUCAGCACCGCCGCGCUGAGCCCAGCAAGGGGUCCCAGGCACAGCACGGUGCACCCGUCAGGCUAGUGUCUGUCGGCGGGGAAGGAAGCUGCAGUGGAGUUUUAAUGGUUUUUAGUACUUCCUAGGCAGCUAAAGCUGAAGGAUUCACAAAAUCUGUUACCCUGCAGCCUUCUGUUAGCCUCCAAAGCAGACAGGGUGCUGGGUGCUAACAGUCAUGUCAGGCAGCACUGCUCUGUGACAAGUGCCCUGACUGGUGAGUGGCAUCUGGACUGGGAAAUGCCAGGUACUUGACAGGAAACUGUAGCUUUGGACUUCCCAGACAUGGGAACUAACUGCAGGCCCCUUGUGAGGUCCCUGAGCUUUGAUGUGGGGAGAUGGUAGUUCCCGGAGCCCUGUGGGUGCUCGGCUACACAGACUGCUGCUCUAGGGUCAUCUCCUGCAUGGAAGGAGGCCUGCUGGCCUGCUGUGGUUCCUGUCCAUAACCUUGAGUAAGCCGGAGCCACAUGCAGCCGGUUGUAGGCUUUCUGAGCCUGAAUAUUGGGCUGAGCCUGAGAAGAACCCCUGCGGGACACUGCAGAAGUCAGACAGAAGACUGCUCUUGUUGACGUAUGCAAAUGAGCUCAACUGGGGGUUAGGCCUGCCUCUCAAGGGAAGGGCCCAGACAUCACAGGAGCCUUCUACCUUUAGGAGGCUCCUUUCCUGCCUGACUCUCUUCAGCGUCAAGGCAGAACACCCAGGUCACUGCUCCUAGUGCCAGGGGUCAGAGCAGACAAGCCUUCAGUUAACUCCACACAGCCCUUGCCACUGUAAGCAACCCCUCCUCCUAUCCUUUCUUCCCAGCAAUGCCCAGGCGCACAGUCCAGGAUGGGCUGCACAGCAAGCACCACAUGAAAGCACUGCGUACCCCUGAAAUAAUGUAGUGCCAACAACAAAAACAAGUCCAAAAGCAGCAUCUCCUAAAUUCCAAAUUUCCUCCCCCCAUCUCAACCAAGGAAGAUGCAAUCAGAGCAUAACAGCAUUUAAAAAUAUUUAGUAAUACUCAUGGGAAAUCCUUUGCAUGUUCUCUUUAAUCCUCACAACUAAAUGAGGUUGGUGGUCUUUUGCUGCUGCUUUGUUGUAAUGCUUGUUUCACAGAGAAGGAAACUGCAUCUGAGUGACAUCAUUUGUACAAAGUCAACAGCUAGUCCACAGUCUGAUUAAACCUGCAGUUGGGAAAUUUUGCCAACAAGAAGUUAAUUGAGAGCUUUCAAGUUCUUACAGUAUAACAGCCACUUUCCAAAUUCAUAUUUCUUCCCACAUCCUCAAAAGAAGGAAGGAAGCCUAUGCACGAGGAGAAGAGAUUAUAAUCACCCACAGCUCCUGGCUGCCAUGAAAGCCCAUAACACCACUGCAGACCCUAAGGAGGGAGCGUGUCUAGGCGGGUCUGUGGGAGUAGACACCAGCAACCCCAAGGCCCCUGGUGUUUGUUCCCACAGCUGACAGGAGACCCCCACAGGGCCACUGUGAUCCCGAGGAGGGGCCCAGGCUCGGUCAGGAACAGCUGACAGGGAUCCUGGUCAGCACAGAUUACAAGGCUGCUGCCCCCUCUCCCCAGUGGCAGCAAGUGGAAGCAGUAACCAAACUCACUCUCUCUGCAGAGGCACAAAUCCACACCAUUAAGCAAUAUGAAAAAAUUUACGAACUCUCCAGAACAAAAGGAAAGUGACAAGUGCCCAGAAAACAAUCCAGAAGACACAGAAAUCUAUAACCUAAAUGACGAAGAAUUCAAAACAGCUAUCAUUAAGAAACUCAUG